RNAcentral lists this long non-coding RNA (336 nucleotides) under Sus scrofa (pig). Its description in RNAcentral is "lncRNA (ENSSSCG00030068832.1)". Lineage: Eukaryota; Metazoa; Chordata; Mammalia; Artiodactyla; Suidae. The record is from RNAcentral.
GUUCUUAAGUGGAUGGCGUUCUUUCUACAAGUUGUGGCACGUUCCAGUAGGGAAAGUCUUUUGCCAAGCAGGUGGGGGCACAUGUGUGGCUGGAGAGUGCCUAUGGGUUGAUUCCUUUGUGAAUUACAUGGAGCUGACACAGCUGAAACCCACUAUGACCCAGAUGAGGACAGAAGCUUGUGCUGGAAGAGUGGCUGUGUCCCUAUGUGACAAGGCCUGAGAUGUCCUAAGGACUGUAUACCUCAGUGGGUUUGGACUAAACCACCAGAAUGCACAGCCAUCCUGCAUUCACUUCUCUCACCUCUCCAGCACCAUACUAAUAACGCCCAACUCCCG